GAAACAUGGAAGAUAACACAUCCAGAAUGAGGUACAACAACCACAAUUGAUGUAAAGAGCACAGACAUUAAUCAUAUUGAAAAGUGAUAUCUCUCAUUGAAGAAUCAGUUAAAAUCAACAGCAAUGCAAAUAAACAGUCUUUUACACUUCAAUCGAUUGUAAACUGCAAAAUAGCAAUACUAACGUAUACAUUCUGAAUAAUUUCUCAUCCUGAAUUUACUUCCGCAUAGUCACACAGCUGUACAAUGUAUUUUCCUUUGGAUGAUAUAAGAACAUUUACUGUGCUUGAGUUUUGCACCCCCACCCCCUUUUUCCUUAGCAAUCACAUGAUGGAUCAAUAUUGUCAGGCUACAGAAAAGCUCCAAUUGCUUAAAAGUUCUAGCCCACAAAUGAAGAAAACCUUCUAAGGAAGCAAAUAGUUCUGACUACAAGUUCUCCACUUACUUGAUUGAGAGAAGUCUCUUCUUCCAUUAAUCCGAAAUAAUCUCAGCAUGUACAAAUACAUUAUAUACCUUCCAAUGACUUUAUAAAGCCCACUAUAGAUGAUGCCAACCCAAGUAAAUUUACAAAAUUUACAAGCAAUCUGAACAUACUUUUAUGUCAUGUUUAUCAUCCAAAUGACAGAAGAAAAACGAAUAAUACAAAAAUAAAGGAUUAUACCAAAAGUAUAACUAACAGAACCAA
This 684-nucleotide unclassified non-coding RNA is filed under the name Hevea brasiliensis (rubber tree). Lineage: Eukaryota; Viridiplantae; Streptophyta; Magnoliopsida; Malpighiales; Euphorbiaceae. The record is from RNAcentral.